CAUUCUCUGACCAUUCUGGGGAAGAAGCUGUGCCGACUCUUCUUUGUCAUUGAUUUUUCAAAGGGCACCCAUCCGGGAUUUGUGGAUGGUGACCAGUGAAGACUCUGGCUCAACAGAGAGAAUCUGGAGGCUUCAGUCCCCCGCCAUUCCCCAGAGAACCACAGAUCACUGCAGCCUCUGUACGACUGUCACAGCCCGUGACUGAGGUGCAAAUUUGGCCAGGCCAGAGAGGUAAUUUUAGGGGUAUAGAGCCAACGGAACAGAUGAAGAGAGACCAGCACUCGCAUGUUCGUGGCAGCGCUCGUCAUGAUGGCCAAGAUGUGGGAACAACCUUAAUGUCCUUCGGUAGGUGGCUAGGCAACGAAAACGUGGCACAUACAUGAAAUAGAAUGUUAUUCCGCCUCUGAAAGGAUCGCCCUUCUGACACCUGCUACAACGUGGGUGAACCUCGUGGUUGUGAGGCUGAAACGAAAUAAGCUGGAAUAAAAAAGACGAAUAAGGUACGAUACCCCUUAUAUGAAGUAUCCC
RNAcentral lists this long non-coding RNA (528 nucleotides) under Mustela putorius furo (domestic ferret). RNAcentral's name for it is "lncRNA (ENSMPUG00000030583.1)". Lineage: Eukaryota; Metazoa; Chordata; Mammalia; Carnivora; Mustelidae. The record is from RNAcentral.